RNAcentral lists this ribosomal RNA (433 nucleotides) under uncultured bacterium. Its description in RNAcentral is "partial 16S ribosomal RNA". It matches the Rfam family "Bacterial small subunit ribosomal RNA", at positions 29 to 507 of the family's 1533-position model. The record is from RNAcentral.
AACGAACGCUGGCGGCACGCCUAACACAUGCAAGUCGAACGAUCCCUUCGGGGAUAGUGGCGCACGGGUGCGUAACGCGUGGGAACCUGCCCUUAGGUUCGGAAUAACUCAGAGAAAUUUGAGCUAAUACCGGAUAAUGUCUUCGGACCAAAGAUUUAUCGCCUUUGGAUGGGCCCGCGUUGGAUUAGCUAGUUGGUGGGGUAAAGGCCUACCAAGGCGACGAUCCAUAGCUGGUCUGAGAGGAUGAUCAGCCACACUGGGACUGAGACACGGCCCAGACUCCUACGGGAGGCAGCAGUGGGGAAUAUUGGACAAUGGGCGAAAGCCUGAUCCAGCAAUGCCGCGUGAGUGAUGAAGGCCUUAGGGUUGUAAAGCUCUUUUACCCGGGAUGAUAAUGACAGUACCGGGAGAAUAAGCCCCGGCUAACUCCGUG